GAUGAACGCUGGCGGCGUGCUUAACACAUGCAAGUCGAACGGAAAGGCCUCUGCUUGCAGGGGUACUCGAGUGGCGAACGGGUGAGUAACACGUGGGUGAUCUGCCCUGCACUUCGGGAUAAGCCUGGGAAACUGGGUCUAAUACCGGAUAGGACAAUGGUUUGGAUGCCGUUGUGGACAGUUUUUCGGUGUGGGAUGAGCUCGCGGCCUAUCAGCUUGUUGGUGGGGUAAUGGCCUACCAAGGCGUCGACGGGUAGCCGGCCUGAGAGGGUGUACGGCCACAUUGGGCCUGCGAUACGGCCCAGACUCCUACGGUAGGCAGCAGUGGGGAAUAUUGCACAAUGGUCGCGAGCCUGAUGCAGCGACGCCGCGUGGGGGAUGACGGCCUUCGGGUUGUAAACUCCUUUCGCUAGGGACGAAGCGCAAGUGACGGUACCUGGAGAAGAAGCACCGGCUAACUACGUG
RNAcentral lists this ribosomal RNA (465 nucleotides) under uncultured bacterium. Its description in RNAcentral is "partial 16S ribosomal RNA". It matches the Rfam family "Bacterial small subunit ribosomal RNA", at positions 28 to 507 of the family's 1533-position model. The record is from RNAcentral.